Molecule: ribosomal RNA, 269 nt
Filed under: uncultured prokaryote
Description: partial 16S ribosomal RNA
Rfam family: Bacterial small subunit ribosomal RNA
Source: RNAcentral
CACGUAUGGGGCGAGCGUUGUUCGGAAUUAUUGGGCGUAAAGGGCGUGUAGGCGGUUUAACAAGCCUGGUGUGAAAGUCUCCGGCUCAACCGGAGGAUUGCGCUGGGAACUGUUAGACUAGAGUUCAGGAGGGGGAGCUGGAAUUCCUGGUGUAGGGGUGAAAUCUGUAGAUAUCAGGAAGAACACCGGUGGCGAAGGCGAGCUCCUGGCCAUGGACUGACGCUGAGGCGCGAAAGCGUGGGGAGCGAACAGGAUUAGAUACCCCCGUA